This 439-nucleotide ribosomal RNA is filed under the name uncultured bacterium. RNAcentral's name for it is "partial 16S ribosomal RNA". It matches the Rfam family "Bacterial small subunit ribosomal RNA", at positions 339 to 795 of the family's 1533-position model. The record is from RNAcentral.
CUACGGGUCGCUGCAGUGGGGAAUAUUGCACAAUGGAGGAAACUCUGAUGCAGCAACGCCGCGUGGAGGAUGACACUUUUCGGAGCGUAAACUCCUUUUAUAUAGGAAGAAGAUGACGGUACUAUAUAAAUAAGCGCCGGCUAACUCCGUGCCAGCAGCCGCGGUAAUACGGAGGGCGCAAGCGUUACUCGGAAUCACUGGGCGUAAAGAGCGUGUAGGCGGAUUAAAAAGUCAGAAGUGAAAUCCUAUAGCUUAACUAUAGAACUGCUUCUGAAACUCUUAAUCUAGAAGAUGGGAGAGGUAGAUGGAAUUUCUGGUGUAGGGGUAAAAUCCGUAGAGAUCAGAAGGAAUACCGAUUGCGAAGGCGAUCUACUAGAACAUUAUUGACGCUGAGACGCGAAAGCGUGGGGAGCAAACAGGAUUAGAUACCCGCGUAGUC